CGGACGGGUGCGUAACGCGUAGGAAUCUACCUGGUAGUGGGGGACAACACGGGGAAACUCGUGCUAAUACCGCAUACGCCCUACGGGGGAAAGCGGGGGAUCUUCGGACCUCGUGCUAUCAGAUGAGCCUGCGUUGGAUUAGCUUGUUGGUGAGGUAAAGGCUCACCAAGGCGACGAUCCAUAGCUGGUCUGAGAGGAUGAUCAGCCACACUGGAACUGAGACACGGUCCAG
Molecule: ribosomal RNA, 232 nt
Filed under: uncultured bacterium
Lineage: Bacteria
Description: partial 16S ribosomal RNA
Rfam family: Bacterial small subunit ribosomal RNA
Source: RNAcentral